UGUGUCAGACAUUUCUCUCCAGGUGGAGAGUGACCCUCUUCUUCAUCAACUCUUCUUCAUCAACUCUUCUUCAUCACCUCUUUGGACUGUUUGAAGAAACUCUCUGCUUGUAGUUCCUGAUGAUGUCACCAGAGGGCGCCAUGACAUCACUCACCAGCUCAGAGAUGAAGACAAACUGGGGACUUUGGAGACAAAGGUUUCAGUCGACACACACGAUAAG
Long non-coding RNA from Perca flavescens (yellow perch), 220 nucleotides. RefSeq lists it as uncharacterized. The transcript is spliced from 3 exons. The record is from RefSeq and is a predicted model, not a curated record. NCBI's taxonomy places the organism in Eukaryota, Metazoa, Chordata, Actinopteri, Perciformes, Percidae.